This 497-nucleotide ribosomal RNA is filed under the name uncultured bacterium. RNAcentral describes it as "partial 16S ribosomal RNA". It matches the Rfam family "Bacterial small subunit ribosomal RNA", at positions 28 to 507 of the family's 1533-position model. The record is from RNAcentral.
GAUGAACGCUGGCGGCGUGCCUAAUACAUGCAAGUCGAGCGAACAGACGAGGAGCUUGCUCCUCUGACGUUAGCGGCGGACGGGUGAGUAACACGUGGAUAACCUACCUAUAAGACUGGGAUAACUUCGGGAAACCGGAGCUAAUACCGGAUAAUAUAUUGAACCGCAUGGUUCAAUAGUGAAAGACGGUUUUGCUGUCAUUUAUAGAUGGAUCCGCGCCGCAUUAGCUAGUUGGUAAGGUAACGGCUUACCAAGGCGACGAUGCGUAGCCGACCUGAGAGGGUGAUCGGCCACACUGGAACUGAGACACGGUCCAGACUCCUACGGGAGGCAGCUGUAGGGAAUCUUCCGCAAUGGGCGAAAGCCUGACGGAGCAACGCCGCGUGAGUGAUGAAGGUCUUCGGAUCGUAAAACUCUGUUAUUAGGGAAGAACAAAUGUGUAAGUAACUAUGCACGUCUUGACGGUACCUAAUCAGAAAGCCACGGCUAACUACGUG